Molecule: ribosomal RNA, 372 nt
Filed under: uncultured organism
Description: bacterial SSU rRNA
Rfam family: Bacterial small subunit ribosomal RNA
Source: RNAcentral
CAGAGGGGGCAAGCGUUGUUCGGAAUUACUGGGCGUAAAGGGCGCGUAGGCGGCCUUCUAAGUCAUGCGUGAAAUCCCCGGGCUCAACCCGGGAACUGCGUCUGAUACUGGAAGGCUUGAAUCCGGGAGAGGGAUGUGGAAUUCCAGGUGUAGCGGUGAAAUGCGUAGAUAUCUGGUGGAACACCGGUGGCGAAGGCGGCAUCCUGGACCGGUAUUGACGCUGAGGCGCGAAAGCCAGGGGAGCAAACGGGAUUAGAUACCCCGGUAGUCCUGGCCCUAAACGAUGAAUGCUUGGUGUGGCGGGUAUCGAUCCCUGCCGUGCCGAAGCUAACGCAUUAAGCAUUCCGCCUGGGGAGUACGGUCGCAAGGCUG